AUUGAACGCUGGCGGCAUGCUUUACACAUGCAAGUCGAACGGUAACAGGCCUUCGGGUGCUGACGAGUGGCGAACGGGUGAGUAAUGCAUCGGAACGUGCCCAAUCGUGGGGGAUAACGUAGCGAAAGUUACGCUAAUACCGCAUAAGCCCUGAGGGGGAAAGCAGGGGAUCGCAAGACCUUGCGCGAAUGGAGCGGCCGAUGUCAGAUUAGCUAGUUGGUGGGGUAAAGGCCUACCAAGGCGACGAUCUGUAGCGGGUCUGAGAGGAUGAUCCGCUACACUGGGACUGAGACACGGCCCAGACUCCUACGGGAGGCAGCAGUGGGGAAUUUUGGACAAUGGGCGCAAGCCUGAUCCAGCCAUGCCGCGUGCGGGACGAAGGCCUUCGGG
This 390-nucleotide ribosomal RNA is filed under the name uncultured bacterium. RNAcentral's name for it is "bacterial SSU rRNA". It matches the Rfam family "Bacterial small subunit ribosomal RNA", at positions 29 to 422 of the family's 1533-position model. The record is from RNAcentral.